UACGGGGGGGGCAAGCGUUGUUCGGAAUUACUGGGCGUAAAGGGCUCGUAGGUGGCCAACUAAGUCAGACGUGAAAUCCCUCAGCUUAACUGGGGAACUGCGUCUGAUACUGGAGAGCUUGAGUCCGGAAGAGGUGAGUGGAACUCCGAGUGUAGAGGUGAAAUUCGUAGAUAUUCGGAAGAACACCAGUGGCGAAGGCGGCUCACUGGUCCGGUACUGACGCUGAUGUGCGAAAGCGUGGGGAGCAAACAGG
This 253-nucleotide ribosomal RNA is filed under the name uncultured bacterium. RNAcentral describes it as "partial 16S ribosomal RNA". It matches the Rfam family "Bacterial small subunit ribosomal RNA", at positions 524 to 776 of the family's 1533-position model. The record is from RNAcentral.